AUGCGCGCGCCCGGGCGGCGCGGGAUCUGGGUCUGGGGAUGUGGUACCGGCUGCUGGCGGCGGCCGGCAGUAGAGCGGUGGCCAGGCCGCUGGCCUUGCUGUGGCGAUGUGGUGGCCCAGGAGGCGGCAGGACGGCCAAGACCAGCGCGAGGGCCCUGGGCAAGGCCCGACAGAAGAAGCUAGGAAAGCUCAUCUGGCCUCCUGUUCCAGUGCUUCCAGGGGAUCCACGUUCAGAAGCUGACUCUGCAGGCAAGACCGACGUUAUUUUCCUGGUGGCUGUGUUCAAAACCACCCAAAGGGUUUGAGAAAUACUUUAAGAGGAGUGGAAGGAACACAAACUGAGAAACAUCAACAGCACCAAAAAAAGAGACUGGUGAACUAGAGAAUGCUGAGUCUGGAGGAGACGGAGGCAGGAGAGGAGGGAAGCAGGAUAACGUUGCCUGGUGGAGGCGGAUGCAGAAGGGGGGACUUCCCCUGGGAUGACGAGGAUUUCCGCAGUCUGGCCCUUUUGGGGGCAGGCGUUGCCAUGGGAUUUUUCUACCUCUAUUUUCGAGAUCCUGGAAGAGAAAUCACGUGGAAGCACUUUGUACAGUAUUACCUGGCCAGAGGUCUGGUGGACCGGCUGGAAGUCGUGAACAAACAAUCUGUGCGUGUUAUUCCUGCCCCUGGGACCUCUUCUGAAGGAGCCAUGCUCACUGGUCCUCCUGGUACCGGCAAGACCCUUCUUGCCAAAGCAACUGCAGGGGAGGCCACUGUGCCCUUCAUCACUGUGAACGGGUCUGAGUUCCUGGAAAUGUUUAUUGGCGUUGGGCCAGCAAGGGGUUCAACUCUGCCACCAACGUCGUGGUGUUGGCUGGCACCAACCGCCCUGACGUCCUGGACCCGGCCCUCAUGCGGCCUGGCCGGUUUCAUCGCCAGAUUUACACUGGUCCCCCUUACAUUAAAGGCAGGUCCUCCAUCUUUAAGGUCCACCUGCGCCCACUGAAGCUGGACAAGAGCCUCAAUAAGGACACCCUGGCGAGGAAGCUGGCAGUGCUCACCCCAGGCUUCCCUGACGGGGAUGACUCAGCACUACCCCUCAACAGAGAUGACUUUGAUGACUCUGCCCCUCAGCAGGGCUUACUAAGCACUACCCCUUAACAGGGAUGACUCCGCACUGCCCCUCAACAGGGAUGACUCAGCAGAGAUGACUCAGCACUGUCCCUUAGCAGGGAUGACACAGCAAGGAUGACUCAGCACUGCCCCUCAGCAAGGAUGACUCAGCACUGCCGCUCAACAGACAUGACUCAGGGAUGGCUUAGUACUGCCCCUCAGCAGGGAUGACUCAGCACCGCCUCUCAACAGGGAUGACUCAGCAGGGAUGACUCAGCACCGCCCCUCAACAGGCAUGACUCUGCAGAGAUGACUCAGCACUGUCCCUUAGCAGGGAUGACACAGCAAGGAUGACUCAGCACUGCCCCUCAGCAAGGAUGACUCAGCACUGCCGCUCAACAGGGAUGACUCAGGGAUGGCUUAGUACUGCCCCUCAACAGGGAUGACUCAGCAGGGAUGACUCAGCACCGCCCCUCAACAGGCAUGACUCUGCAGAGAUGACUUAGUACUGCCCCUCAGCAGGGAUGACUCAGUACUGCCCCUCAGCAGGGAUGACUCAGCACUGCCCCUCAACAGGGAUGACUCAGCAGGGAUGACUCAGCACUGUCCCUUAGCAGUGAUGACACAGCAAGGAUGACUCAGCACUGCCCCUCAGCAAGGAUGACUCAGCACUGCCGCUCAACAGACAUGACUCAGGGAUGGCUUAGUACUGCCCCUCAGCAGGGAUGACUCAGCACCGCCCCUCAACAGGGAUGACUCAGCACUGCCCCUCAACAGGGAUGACUCAGCAGGGAUGACUCAGCAGUGUCCCUUAGCAGCGAUGACACAGCAAGGAUGACUCAGCACUGCCCCUCACCAAGGAUGACUCAGCACUGCCGCUCAACAGACAUGACUCAGGGAUGGCUUAGUACUGCCCCUCAGCAGGGAUGACUCAGCAGGGAUGACUCAGCACCACCCCUCAACAGGGAUGACUCAGCAGGGAUGACUCAGCACUGCCCCUCAACAGGGAUGACUGCAGGGAUGACUCAGCACUGCCCCUCAGCAGGGAUGACUCAGCACUGCCCCUCAGCAGGGAUGACUCAGCAGGGAUGACUCAGCACCGCCCCUCAACAGGCAUGACUCUGCAGAGAUGACUCAGCACUGCCCCUCAGCAGGGAUGGCUCAGCAGGGAUGACUCAGCAUUGCCCCUCAACAGGGAUGACUCAGCAGACUCAGCAGGGAUGACUCAGCACUGCCCCUCAACAGACAUGACUCAGCAGGGAUGACUCAGCACCGCCCCUCAGCAAGGAUGACUCAGCAGGGAUGAUUCAGCAGAGAUAACUCGGGGAUGACUCUGAUUGUCCUUCAGCAGGGAUGAGUCUGUUUUGCUCCGAUGGAAGCAUCUGUAGUGUCCAUCAGCAGGUGAAUGGCCAAAGUGGUAUAUACUGUAGUCACAUUCAGCUAUAAAAAGGAAUAAAGUAUCGAUGCAUGCCACAACAUGGGUGAACCUAGAAAAUACUGAUCUAAAUGCAAGAAGCCAGGCACAAAAGGCCACAUAGUAUAUGUUCCCAUUUAUGUGAAAUGUGCAGAAUAAUAAUAAAAAUGUAUAGAAUAGCAAAUCUGUAGGGACAGACAUGAGGUGAGUGGUUGCCAGAAGUGGAAAUGGGAGUUAACUAUAAAUUGCACAGGGUACCUUACAGAGAUGAUGGAAAUGUCCUAAAACUAGAUUAUGGCAAUAGUUGCACUACGUGAUCAGUUUAUUAAAAAUCGUUGAUGUGUGUGUGUAAAAUGGGUGGAUUUUAUGGUUUAUAAAUUAUACCUUAAUAAAGGUUAACAAAAAAUGUGGCU
Molecule: long non-coding RNA, 2919 nt
Organism: Homo sapiens (human)
Lineage: Eukaryota; Metazoa; Chordata; Mammalia; Primates; Hominidae
Gene: AFG3L1P
Product: AFG3 like matrix AAA peptidase subunit 1, pseudogene
Source: Ensembl